Molecule: non-coding RNA, 564 nt
Organism: Cinara cedri
Lineage: Eukaryota; Metazoa; Arthropoda; Insecta; Hemiptera; Aphididae
Source: the annotation of a GenBank genome assembly
CUGUGUACCUCGAAAAAGCCGUUUCACAAAGAUACGUAGUACCAAAAGGCAGUAAAAGCAGUUUAGCUUUUAAACUUAAUAUUAAAUGAUCUUCCCCUAAUUGAGCCCAAAGUUCAGAUAUUGGUUUGCUUUUAAAUAAUGUCUGAUAGCAGCUAUCCGAAACCAUAUCAAUAAGAACCUCAGGUUGCUAACUUUGUUACAUAUCACACACUGAGGACGUCCAUCAGCAAAUUCAGUGAAUCCCAUAUCUAAAUAUGACACAAUAUUUUCGUUUUUUGCUUUCUUUCCGAAUAUCUACAUCAGGUAUCGUAGAUUCUAAAGUAGAACUAUGUACAACAUGUUCCGAAUGUAUUCUAAGGAAUUAUUUUUACUACAAUUAUUGUUAUCUUUCUUCGACUGAGCAAUAGUUGUUGGCUGACUCUUUUCAGGUCUUAUGAAGCCCGUUUUAAACCACCGUUCCAUUUCAGUAAAAAUAUCUGGGUCGUUCGUACAUACGCGCAAUAAAUAGAUAAAAAAAUAAAAUAAUUGAAUCAAACAAAAUACAAACACGUCCGUCGUUUGUAA